AGCUAACGAGAAUUUGGAUGCAGAUAUUAGAUGCAAUCAAAUCAACUGUAAAUUACUAAGAGGGUAACCAUCUCUACUGCACAACUGCGGAUACACAGGUCCAGAGAUGAGUGAAAUCCCUGCAAUAGUUUUGCAGGAGGGGAGGUACCAAUGUUCCAAUACAAACAAACAAUAAGAAAGUUGUAUACUCUCCGGAGUUGCUAAUUGUUUGUAAACUGGUGGUAAUGUUAUUGGACUGAGCAUGCUCACUUACAUUCUGCAUGUUUGAUAUGACAAGUGCAAAUGCCAUUCUCAUCAAUGAAGUCCACUCUUUGUUUCAGUUUUUAACUUUGUACAUGGUUGACUGUUAAUUAAUUAUUAACAACAUAUCAUCAAUAGCACCCAACAGUGUAAAUUACAAAAUUAUGGGAUUGCCUCUUAAGAGUUUCCAAUGCGAAUUGCCUGCUACCAAUGUAUAGUCUUAAAAACCUGAGUCCAGAUUAAAGGGGAAGUUCGGAUGGAAAUAAUUAAACAUCAUUUACAGUAAAUUUUUUUUAUCUGCAGCAUAGCAAAAAGAUAAAAGUGCUUCUUAUUUCCAAAAACGAGAAAAGAUAAAAAAAAUAUAUAUAUAUACUUUUGUAAAGCAAAUCUUUAAUCUCCGCAUUAAUAAAUUAAAAUGUUAUGGCCUCAGAGAUCUUGGUGGAUGUGAAUAAUCAUCAGUGAAGAAUUAGUUUGAAAAACAAAUCCCCCAAUCAAGAGUAGCAAAUAUUUGUUAUUACAUCACCGGCCAAAUCAAUCCCAAAUAAAGAAAAAAAAAAGAAAUUUUUUUUUAAAAAAAUAAAUCAUGCCAUGGAGUGGAGUCAGAAGUAGCUGGUUGUUAAUAUCAUAUUUUGAUUAAAACAAAAUCAUUGGGAAUCCGUCUGAUUUAUUUCAUCAUCCAUCCACCUCCAUGCCGAUACCAAACCGAGCUUAUUAAAAUUAAAAAUAAAAAAAAAAUUGAGAAGGGAGAUGCCAAAAAAGCUACGAAUAAUGAAUUGGACUGUAUCUACCUUGUCACCGCAAAAUGUUUCUAAAUAAGAGAAAAACGGAGCUGAAGGUAGAGUAUACAUACACGAGUUUUGAGUAUGUAUACGGUUCUUCGCUUUGGCCUAACGAUAGAUUCCUUGAUUCAUUUUACUCUGUAUCAAAGAAUUGCAAUAUUAGGCCGGCCACCCAUUUUCUUUUAUUUAUAAAUCCAUUUAAACUUGAGAAAAAAGAGAAUGAAAUUUUAGAUGAAAACUUUGAUGGGCAAGCAGCGGAUUCUUGGAAUGAAUUCGAUUCAUUCGAUUUGAUGAGGAGGAAAGGGAGAGGUAACUUGAUAUAUU
RNAcentral lists this long non-coding RNA (1343 nucleotides) under Citrus sinensis (sweet orange). RNAcentral describes it as "long non-coding RNA (CSIN_LNC003721)". The record is from RNAcentral. Lineage: Eukaryota; Viridiplantae; Streptophyta; Magnoliopsida; Sapindales; Rutaceae.